CUGGAUUAUCUUCAUCGGAUUCCAAAGAUGGGUAAACUAAACCAGAAACAAAAAAUAGCUUUUAUUGCAGCAGUAUUAAACAAGAGUUUGUGAUAAAAUAUUGGCCCAAUCUAAAAGCCUCACGCUCCUGGAGAUGAGUUCCUAGGCCUUGAGCCAGCAAGAUAGUUAAGCAUAUUAACAGGAUUUCCAUCACUGCAGAACGUGUACAUUUCAGGACAAGAGGAAGUGGACUAUGCCAGGGUGGACUGAAGAGAUGGGCCCCCUCCUGAUGUCAGUGGGCCGGAGACCCAGAGCCUUUAUCUGCACAAGCAGGCUCAAUGGGGCUGAAAUCUGACGAACAGGGCCGCUCUGCAGGGGAGCCAAAGCAGGGAGGCCCCACACAGCUUCACCCGGAAGACAGCAUAGAGCACAUCCCAGAAGAGUAUCUUAAUUGAGGAUAAUAGGUAGGAGCAAGAAGCCAAAGCAGAAGAAAACAAAAACUGACUGGAGCUAGAAAUGCCAUCUCUCUGGAUUGACCCACUCCCUUCUCCUUUUCAGUUUGCAUCUCUCUAAGUGUUUGUCCUUGUGGGCACCACCAGAACCUGGGCACAGUCUUCUCUCUCUCAGAAGAGGAGUGCCCUGCCCCCUGAAGUUCCCAACAGUUGAGAGGACUUCCACAGGCAGAUGGGAUCAUUUGUAGUAGCCUCUUCAGAGACAUUUGUAACUUCAAUACAAGUUUCUAUAUUGCCAGUAGGCACCACUCAUUCAUAAACUCUCCUCCUGACAAGUUUGCAGUGUGGUAAAUAUCUUUAACUCCUACACUAAAAGAAGGUAGGGGUCAGGCCAGGUGUUUAGCUGGUGUAAAUGAGAGUAGCACCAUUGACUUCAAUGGAGCUGCUCUGAUUUCUGCCAACCAAGAAAAGAUGUCAAGUAGUGUUCACAUCGAUGUAUUUCUGACACUAUCCUCAGGGGCUACACCAAGAAAAAAAUGCAUAAAAUUCAAAACCAAAAGGAAUUAGAUUGAGUAAAAAAGAAGAAAACAGUGAUUACUGGGAUCACUUAUAACAGGGCUCCCCUUUACAAAGGGUGUCCCUUAGAAACUAAGGGUCAGAAGACUGGUGAUGGAAUAUGAUGCCUUUUUCCCUCUAUAUACAGUUCAACUAUAUACCUGGUCAGUAGUUUAUGAAAGUUAUCUCCAUUUGACAUUUAUUGGAUGGUCUAUGAGCAAUGACUGGUGGUCUUAGCUCUGCUCAGCAGACUUCAUCGCAACACCAUCAGCACAACUGACGCACAGUUGGCAGACUCAUCAGAAAAGCCAAGGGCUGAAUGGGCAUGGAGACUGAACUAGCCUUGUACCUCUGCAAGUGGUUCCAUUCAAUCAGGACUGAGCUACACUGGAUGAGCAGACUAUACCAUUUGAGGAAACUUGCAGUGCUAAUGCUUCUAUUGCUGCUGUUUUGUGAUUAGACAGAGGAAUUUUACCUCCUCACUAAAGCUCCUAUCGUCUCACUGAACACUGGUGUAAAUCAAGAGUAACUUCACAGAGGUCAGUUGAGCUACAACUGGUGUAUUUGAGAGGAGAUUCAGGCCUGCAAGAUCUCAAAUCUUUUGAAGUCGUCUCUAGCUCCAAGGCGUACAACUAGUUGCCAAUUUAUCCUGGUUUUCAAGAAGCAGGGACAACUUCCCCUUUUCUGCACAUACACCGCUACCUCAGUAUAAUGCCACCUGAUAUAACAUGAAUUUGGAUAUAACGCAGUAAAGCAGUGCUCCGGGUGGCAGGGGAAGCACACUCCGGUGGAUCAAAACAAGUUCAAUAUAACACAGUUUCACCUACAACGCGGUAAGAUUUUUUGGCUCCCAAGGACAGCGUUAUAUCGAGGUAGAGGUGUAAUUAUAUGUCUGACUUUUUUGUACCUCAGGCUACUGCUCUGCUAAUAAUAUGAGCCCCUAUCUCCCUGUCUCCAAGAAACUAGGAUUACUGAUUUUGCUACAUGGACACUAUUUUUGUUAUUCAGUCCUCUUCUUUGUUCUUGCUACAACACAAACCAAUGAAACAGAAUUAAAAAAAA
This is a long non-coding RNA of Gopherus flavomarginatus (Mexican gopher tortoise), 2048 nucleotides long. RefSeq lists it as uncharacterized. The record is from RefSeq and is a predicted model, not a curated record. NCBI's taxonomy places the organism in Eukaryota, Metazoa, Chordata, Testudines, Testudinidae. The transcript is spliced from 5 exons.